This 297-nucleotide signal recognition particle RNA is filed under the name Sus scrofa (pig). RNAcentral's name for it is "Metazoan signal recognition particle RNA (ENSSSCG00005038461.1, ENSSSCG00060034475.1)". It matches the Rfam family "Metazoan signal recognition particle RNA". Rfam says of the family: The signal recognition particle (SRP) is a universally conserved ribonucleoprotein. It is involved in the co-translational targeting of proteins to membranes. The eukaryotic SRP consists of a 300-nucleotide 7S RNA and six proteins: SRPs 72, 68, 54, 19, 14, and 9. Lineage: Eukaryota; Metazoa; Chordata; Mammalia; Artiodactyla; Suidae. The record is from RNAcentral.
GCCGGAUGCGGUGGCGCACGCCUGUAGUCCCAGCAACUCGGGAGGCUGAGGCUGGAGGAUAGCUUGAGCCCAGGAGUUCUGGGCUGCAGUACACUUUGGCGAUAGGGUGUCCGCACUAAGUUUGGCAGCAAUACGUGACCCUCUGGGAGCAGAGGACCACCAGGUUGGCUAAGGAGGAGUGAACCGGCCCAGGUCAGAAACGGAGCAGGUCAAAACUCCCGUGCUGAUAAGGAAGAAAGAAAAGAAAGACUAGGACCAAAGACUCUUUCAGAGACAAUGGCUAGAAACUGGAUUACU